RNAcentral lists this unclassified non-coding RNA (190 nucleotides) under Viscum engleri. RNAcentral describes it as "sequence contains ITS2". Lineage: Eukaryota; Viridiplantae; Streptophyta; Magnoliopsida; Santalales; Viscaceae. The record is from RNAcentral.
GGGGGGGUGAGGUACUCAGGUGUAUGUUGGCCUCCCGUUCCUUGUUGUGCGGUUGGUUUAAAUUUGGGGUCCUUGGCGGCAUGCGUCGUUGAUGAGUUAUAUCAUAAACAACGUUUGUCUCUUGUUGGCAGGUGAGCCCCCUGGUCCCAUGGCUUCCUUGACACUUAGUUGGACUUGCCAUUUCGACCCC